RNAcentral lists this ribosomal RNA (255 nucleotides) under uncultured bacterium. RNAcentral describes it as "partial 16S ribosomal RNA". It matches the Rfam family "Bacterial small subunit ribosomal RNA", at positions 524 to 777 of the family's 1533-position model. The record is from RNAcentral.
UACGGGGGGGGGCAAGCGUUGUUCGGAAUUACUGGGCGUAAAGGGCUCGUAGGCGGCCAACUAAGUCGGAUGUGAAAUCCCCAGGCUCAACUUGGGAACUGCAUCCGAUACUGGAUGGCUUGAAUUCGGGAGAGGGAUGCAGAAUUCCAGGUGUAGCGGUGAAAUGCGUAGAUAUCUGGAGGAAUACCGGUGGCGAAGGCGGCAUCCUGGACCGACAUUGACGCUGAGGAGCGAAAGCUAGGGGAGCAAACGGGG